Molecule: non-coding RNA, 95 nt
Organism: Gasterosteus aculeatus aculeatus (three-spined stickleback)
Lineage: Eukaryota; Metazoa; Chordata; Actinopteri; Perciformes; Gasterosteidae
Source: RefSeq, a predicted model, not a curated record
CAAAGUUCGUCGGGGGACACCAGGCAGGACUCCAUCAAGGUGGUCGUCUCCGAGGGCGGCGUGACUCAGGAAGACGGGUCUGACAGAUCGGGAGG